RNAcentral lists this ribosomal RNA (238 nucleotides) under uncultured bacterium. RNAcentral's name for it is "partial 16S ribosomal RNA". It matches the Rfam family "Bacterial small subunit ribosomal RNA", at positions 96 to 334 of the family's 1533-position model. The record is from RNAcentral.
CGGCGGACGGGUGAGUAACGCGUGGGUAACCUGCCUCAUACAGGGGGAUAACAGUUAGAAAUGACUGCUAAUACCGCAUAAGCGCACAGUGCCGCAUGGUACGGUGUGAAAAACUCCGGUGGUAUGAGAUGGACCCGCGUCUGAUUAGCUAGUUGGUGGGGUAACGGCCUACCAAGGCGACGAUCAGUAGCCGACCUGAGAGGGUGACCGGCCACAUUGGGACUGAGACACGGCCCAA